Molecule: ribosomal RNA, 545 nt
Filed under: Escherichia coli
Lineage: Bacteria; Pseudomonadati; Pseudomonadota; Gammaproteobacteria; Enterobacterales; Enterobacteriaceae
Description: partial 23S ribosomal RNA
Rfam family: Bacterial large subunit ribosomal RNA
Source: RNAcentral
AUCAGUGUGUGUGUUAGUGGAAGCGUCUGGAAAGGCGCGCGAUACAGGGUGACAGCCCCGUACACAAAAAUGCACAUGCUGUGAGCUCGAUGAGUAGGGCGGGACACGUGGUAUCCUGUCUGAAUAUGGGGGGACCAUCCUCCAAGGCUAAAUACUCCUGACUGACCGAUAGUGAACCAGUACCGUGAGGGAAAGGCGAAAAGAACCCCGGCGAGGGGAGUGAAAAAGAACCUGAAACCGUGUACGUACAAGCAGUGGGAGCCUCUUUAUGGGGUGACUGCGUACCUUUUGUAUAAUGGGUCAGCGACUUAUAUUCUGUAGCAAGGUUAACCGAAUAGGGGAGCCGAAGGGAAACCGAGUCUUAACUGGGCGUUAAGUUGCAGGGUAUAGACCCGAAACCCGGUGAUCUAGCCAUGGGCAGGUUGAAGGUUGGGUAACACUAACUGGAGGACCGAACCGACUAAUGUUGAAAAAUUAGCGGAUGACUUGUGGCUGGGGGUGAAAGGCCAAUCAAACCGGGAGAUAGCUGGUUCUCCCCGAAAGCU